GGCCGCGGCUGGCGACAGCCAGGGGAUGGGCUGCGCUCGGGCAGCUGCAGCCCUGAGGAGUUUUCUGCCAAAUAAGGGAAGAGACUCUUUCCCUCUGUGCUGGCACUGCUGAGGGACCGCAAAUCCUAGGAGAACACCACAGGGUGUAUUCACUUCCCUCUGGAUUUCCUGCGAGAUAAUUGUGAAGCCAUAAAGAUGUUUCCACAUUUUAUGGCCAUUCCUCUUCAUCCUGUCACUGGGCACCACCAGAAAGAAUCUGGCACCAUCCUCCUGCACCCCUUGG
Hirundo rustica (Barn swallow) is the source of this 283-nucleotide long non-coding RNA. RefSeq lists it as uncharacterized. The record is from RefSeq and is a predicted model, not a curated record. The transcript has 3 exons. NCBI's taxonomy places the organism in Eukaryota, Metazoa, Chordata, Aves, Passeriformes, Hirundinidae.